GAUGAACGCUGGCGGCGUGCCUAAUACAUGCAAGUCGAGCGAACAGAUAAGGAGCUUGCUCCUUUGACGUUAGCGGCGGACGGGUGAGUUACACGUGGAUAACCUACCUAUAAGACUGGUAUAACUUCGGGAAACCGGCGCUAAUACCGGAUAACAUAUUGAACCGCAUGGUUCAAUAGUGAAAGGCGGCUUUGCUGUCACUUAUAGAUGGAUCCGCGCCGUAUUAGCUAGUUGGUAAGGUAACGGCUUACCAAGGCAACGAUACGUAGCCGACCUGAGAGGGUGAUAGGCCACACGGGAACUGAGACACGGUCCAGACUCCUAAGGGAGGCAGCAGUAGGGAAUCUUACGCAAUGGGCGAAAGCCUGACGGAGCAACGCCGCGUGAGUGAUGAAGGUCUUCGGAUCGGAAAACUCUGUUAUCAGGGAAGAACAAAUGUGUAAGUAACUGUGCACAUCUUGACGGUACCUGAUCAGAAAGCCACGGCUAACUACGUG
Molecule: ribosomal RNA, 497 nt
Filed under: uncultured bacterium
Lineage: Bacteria
Description: partial 16S ribosomal RNA
Rfam family: Bacterial small subunit ribosomal RNA
Source: RNAcentral